Molecule: non-coding RNA, 83 nt
Organism: Acaromyces ingoldii
Lineage: Eukaryota; Fungi; Basidiomycota; Exobasidiomycetes; Exobasidiales; Cryptobasidiaceae
Source: the annotation of a RefSeq genome assembly
GCUCGCGUGGUGCAGUCGGAAGCUCGUGGAUCUGAUACAAGGAGAAGAGUCCAAGGUCGCAGGUUCGAGCCCUGCCGUGAGCA